RNAcentral lists this long non-coding RNA (1885 nucleotides) under Pelobates cultripes (western spadefoot toad). The record is from RNAcentral. Lineage: Eukaryota; Metazoa; Chordata; Amphibia; Anura; Pelobatidae.
GUCACUAAGUCAGAUCUACCACUAGACAUCCAUAAUGGUGCCUUCUUCAUCUAGAUUAAAUUCACAAGUCAGAGUUGGCCAACCAAUUUUGAGACUGUUAGAUAAGAGCUGGCCAACAAAUUCUGAGACUGUUAGAUCAGGACUGGCCAACCAAAUAUGAGACUGUGAGAUCAGGGCUGGCCAACCAAUUCUGAGACUGUUAGAUUAGAGCUGGCCAACCAAUUCUGAAACUGCCAGAUCAGGGCUGGUCAACCAAUUCUGAGACUGUUAGAUCAGGGCUGGCCAACCAAUUCUGAGACUGUUAGAUCUGGGGUGGCCACCCAAUUAUGUGACUGUUAUAUCAGGGCUGGCCAACCAAUUCUGAGACUGUCAAAUCAGGGCCGGCCAACUGAUUAGGAGACUGUUAAGUCAGGGCUGACCCUGGCUGACCAAGUCUCACAGUGUUAGAUCGGGGCUGGCCGACCAAGUCUCACAGUGUUAGAUCGGGGCUGGCUGACCAAGUCUCACAGUAUUAGAUCAGGGCUGGCUGACCAAGUCUUGCAGUGUUAGAUCAGGGCUGGCUGACCAAGUCUUGCAGUGUUAGAUCAGGGCUGGCUGACCAAGUCUCGCAGUGUUAGAUCAGGGCUGGCUGACCAAGUCUCCCAGUGUUAGAUCAGGGCUGGCUGACCAAGGUUGUGGUUAGUCAACUAAAUCUGUGAAUCUUGGCAUGGUUAACUAAUUUUAUAAACAUUUCUUUACCUAAAAUACAUUUUUGAUUGCUUGUGUAUACUGUUGAGCUUUAAUAUAUAACAUUGUCUUCAUUUGAAAUAUUCUAAAUUUCUAUGAUAUCUUGAUGUACAGCUCUAGACCAUGUGCACACUCACAAACACAGACACUGGCUGAUUACACUGACGCAGACACUGACACAGAAAGACUGACUGCUUUACACAUAUUGUUCCAUGAACUGCCCCACACAGAGACAUCGACACAGCAGCUGUCAUUCGAUGGUGGGCCCCAACACCUCUCUUCUUGUUAAAUGUGCAAGCUAUCAGAUGGUGUCAGAGCAAUGAGUCUCCAGGUGAAACAGCAUUCCGAUUUGUUGCUUUGUAAAGGCCCAUGGAUUUCACUGGAAUGUUAUAGAAACAAUGAUAAAACAAGAAUUCAAUACCUUUUAUAGUUAUAAAUCCUGUCUAAACGUUUACAGUCUGUAAUGCAAAAAAUAAACUAACUUGACAUUUUAUCUCCUGGCCACAUAUAUUAUUAUUUAUUAUAUAUAAUAUUCUUCAUUAAGAGAUAUAUAUAUAUAUAUAUAUACACACACACACACACACAAUAUUUUUCUGUUUUUUAAUGUCAGCAUACAGGAGAGGGUAGGACUGGAGUUGGAGUCUCCCAUUUCUCCAAGGAAAAGCACCAAAAUCGGGACUAGCCAACUUGAUUCUGCACAGUUUGCAAGUACUGUAUAUGUCAUUGGCCUGGCCAGUCGCCAGUUGGAGUGAUGAUCAGGUCUCAUUGCAAGUAAGCUCCAGGUAAUAGAUACAGGUCGCAUAUUGCAGGCAGUGUUGGUACCAUUAUUGAUGCUGACUCAUGCUCAGGGCCAUCUUUAACGCAAGGCAAACAGGGCAGCUGCCCCGGGCCCAGUUACUCCUGAGGGGCCCAAGGCAGCUGCCCUCAAUAAUUUAUGUGGUCCCAGCACUCUAAGGAGGCCCAAUGGGUGGCCCAUGCAUUUAGGGCCACUCGGCGGGCUUCUAUCAGCAGGGGCCCGUCGGGUGCUGUGGCCCUUUAACAGCACGACCGGGCCCUUGCUUUUCGGCAACAUUGGUAGAAGUAACUGCCGUGAGUCACUUCCUCCCAUAAAGAGGGCAGGCGUGCGGGAGGGAGUAGAGCGGGAGUGAGGAGAAGGCAG